ACUUUGAUCAUGGCUCAAGAUGAACGCUGGCGGCGUGCCUAACACAUGCAAGUCGAACGGAGAUAAGAUGAAACCUAGUGAUUCUUAUCUUAGUGGCGGACGGGUGAGUAACACGUGGGUAACCUGCCUUGCACUGGGGGAUAACACUUAGAAAUAGGUGCUAAAACCGCAUAAGCGCACAGUCUUGCAUGAGACAGUGUGAAAAACUCCGGUGGUGUAAGAUGGACCCGCGUCUGAUUAGCUAGUUGGUGAGGUAAUAGCCCACCAAGGCGACGUUCAGUAGCCGGCCUGAGAGGGUGACCGGCCACAUUGGGACUGAGACACGGCCCAAACUCCUACGGGAGGCAGCAGUGGGGAAUAUUGCACAAUGGGGGAAACCCUGAUGCAGCAACGCCGCGUGAGUGAAGAAGUCAUUCGUGAUGUAAAGCUCUAUCAGCAGGGAAGAAAAUGACGGUGCCUGAGUAGGAAGCCCCGGCUAACUACGUGCCAGCAGCCGCGGUAAUACGUAGGGGGCAAGCGUUAUCCGGAUUUACUGGGUGUAAAGGGAGCGUAGACGGCCAUGCAAGUCUGAAGUGAAAUGCCAGUGCUCAACACUGGAACUGCUUUGGAAACUGUAAGGCUAGAGUGCGGGAGAGGUAAGUGGAAUUCCUAGUGUAGCGGUGAAAUGCGUAGAUAUUAGGAGGAACACCAGUGGCGAAGGCGGCUUACUGGACCGUAACUGACGUUGAGGCUCGAAAGCGUGGGGAGCAAACAGGAUUAGAUACCCUGGUAGUCCACGCGGUAAACGAUGAUUACUAGGUGUUGGGGGGGUAAUAACCCUUCGGUGCCGUCGCAAACGCAAUAAGUAAUCCACCUGGGGAGUACGUUCGCAAGAAUGCAACUCAAAUG
RNAcentral lists this ribosomal RNA (888 nucleotides) under uncultured Bacillota bacterium. RNAcentral's name for it is "bacterial SSU rRNA". It matches the Rfam family "Bacterial small subunit ribosomal RNA", at positions 10 to 907 of the family's 1533-position model. Lineage: Bacteria; Bacillati; Bacillota. The record is from RNAcentral.